This is a non-coding RNA of Ictidomys tridecemlineatus (thirteen-lined ground squirrel), 1769 nucleotides long. Lineage: Eukaryota; Metazoa; Chordata; Mammalia; Rodentia; Sciuridae. The record is from RefSeq and is a predicted model, not a curated record.
CCUGCAGCACCAAGCUCCAUUAGAGAGCCCUUUUACUCCUCAUUUCCUAAACUCCCAUCUAGUACCACAUAGCACAAGGAAUGUGUCCUGAACUGCUGAAGGCCAUUAUUACAUGAUACGCUGAUAGAUGCUGACAGAGAAGACAGUGGAAUCUGCCUUCCCUAAAAACAUGUUUAAGAAUGGAAGCUCUCCCAGAGGACUGGGGUCCCAUCCAAGGACAGAGAGAAUGACAGACACGCCACAGAGUGACAUAGACAGACCAAGGGGACCAUGUCACUGCCUCAGUGAAGGGAGUCAAAGAAAUGGCAGAAGAAUGAAAGCCGUGAGCCCAGUAACACUUCUCUUUGACUGCAGUGAUGCCAUAAAGUUUGUUAUAGAAAAUGGACAUUUUCAGUACAAUGGAAAAUGUGAUGUUCACAGUAAAUGCCCUGGCGAUAGACUGUCCCAGUGUUCUUCUUCCCAUCUGUGAAGACUUCAGCCACUGAGCUCUGUAGCUGUCCUCUUUUGUCUUAGCAUCAGGACUAGUCUUCAAAUCAAGACCCUAAAUCACAGAUGCCACAAGGACCUCGACACAGGAAUUCCUCUUCUCACUGACUGGAACAGAACCGGACAUCUCAGGACCAGAAGAAACAUCCCUGACUGUUCCCUCUUGGGAUCACUUCAACUAAAGAAUUUCAACCCAUAUGUUGUAGUUGAAAGCUGUCCGCUGGAAAUUUUAACUCAUGGGUCCUAGCUGUGUUGGGCCACACAGGACCAAGUUUAAUCCCUCUCCCCAAUGACAACCUUUCAAACAGCUAAAACCCGUUAUCAGUCUCACUGCACUUUCCCUCUCUCCAGCUUAAGCUGUAUGACAUGUUAUCAAGACCCUUCCCUCCUGAUCACACUCACCUGUGUGUGCCUCACCUUGUCUAUCAUUCUUAAACAGUGAUGCCCAGAAUGAAUACAGCUUCCAGGUGCUCACUGACAGCACAGCAUGUUUACAGAAUAAAACAUCUUCUGUCACCUGUCUCUUCUCCCACAGCAAGAGUUCAGUUCUCCACUGUAGAGAAAUUCCCAUACAGCCUCCUUAUUGGACUACUCACCACUAGAGUACUCAUACUAUUCUACAUGUUUUUCAUGAUAAAAUUAUAAUAAUAGGAUAAUAGCACUUCAAUAAUGCAAUUAUUUCUGAAGGCCCCCUAUUUGCAGCAUGAACAUCAGUAAAAUUCUGUUCCUUCAGAAGACAUGAAAGAUGGCAUCUUGUCAUUGUGUUUAGCUCCGUUUCUCCCAAAUUUUCUACUCAUUUUUCCAUGGGUUGAGUUGUGAAUCCCUAAAAUUCACCUGUUGAAGUACUAACCCACCGGUACCUCACAAUGCGGUCUUUUUAGAAAUAAAGGUCACUGGAAAUUGCGUGUGUGGUUAAGACGGGGUCAUUUAGGAUGGACCCUAAUCUCCUAUAAGAGGUACAUUUAUAAAAUAGGGGCAUAUGGAUACAGAGACACAGAGAAAAGGAUACCACGUGAAGAUUAAGACAGUUUUCUACACCAAGGAAGAGAGGCCUGAAACAGAUUCCUCCCCUCAGACUCCUCAGAAUGAGCCAACCCUGCCAACAAACUGAUUUUAAACUUCUGGCUUCCAGAACCAUGAGACAAUCUCUUAUUUAAGCCACCCUGUGUGUAGUACUUUGUUUUGGCAGCCCUAAUGAUCUAAUACAUCAUUCUUGCCCACUAACCACAAAAAAAAAAAAAAAAUCCCAACCUCCAGCAAAUGAAAAUAUGAAGAAAUAAUCA